Mycena vitilis is the source of this 90-nucleotide non-coding RNA. NCBI's taxonomy places the organism in Eukaryota, Fungi, Basidiomycota, Agaricomycetes, Agaricales, Mycenaceae. The record is from the annotation of a GenBank genome assembly.
GGUUCGAUGGUGUAGUUGGUUUAUCACUUCUGUCUAACAUAGCUCCGGCGUGUUCACAGGCGGUCCUCAGUUCGAACCUGGGUCGAAUCA